UACAAGAAGAGAUGAAAAGACU
RNAcentral lists this non-coding RNA (22 nucleotides) under Rattus norvegicus (Norway rat). Lineage: Eukaryota; Metazoa; Chordata; Mammalia; Rodentia; Muridae. The record is from RNAcentral.